Molecule: non-coding RNA, 31260 nt
Organism: Anas platyrhynchos (mallard)
Lineage: Eukaryota; Metazoa; Chordata; Aves; Anseriformes; Anatidae
Source: RefSeq, a predicted model, not a curated record
GUUACAGUUCUGCAAAACUUGAGGUAAAAAACUUCACGUGUGCAAAAUAAGGAUUGUUUUUCCUCAGCAACUGGAAGCUUGUAUAUGAUGAGUGUUUUUGUCUGGCUUGAGGUAUAAAUUUCAAAUCCCAUCCUACGUGUCCAGCUGCAGUAUAAGGAAAUUGAUAGUGCUACCGUAUUAUAUAUACACACACAAAUUUUAGGGUAAGACUGUCACACAGGAAAUUGCAUUAGUUUCUAGUACAGAAUUUGUACAGACUUCACGUAUUUCUAUGGAAAUACCUGUGUGCUUGUGUGUGUAUGCACACAAACAUGCACCUAUGAAUGUAGAUUUCCUGCCUGUGGAUUUAUUUGUAUGUAUUAAGUACUCACUGAAAGCCUGGAGGGCAGGGUUUGGUAAGUUUAAGAAGCACUGUUUAAAAUGUGUGAUUUUUUUUUUUUUUUUUUUUUGCUUUUCUAAGUGACCCAGAAGUAGCAUCAGUUGUUUAUAUCUGGCUCAGCGUUUCCCUGCUGGCCCAGCAAUAUUUCCUUAUUGUCAAAGUCAGUCAGUAUAGUCAACUUGACAGAGAAUGAUAUAAAAUUUAUAAAGUAAACUUCAGAGGCUUACAAUUCUAAUCUUUGUGUGUGCUUAUCUAAUGAUACUAUGUAGAAAUGCUUCUUUGUUAGAGCUUAGACAGUUUGACUUCAAGAGUAACUAAAGAGGCAAUAUAAUCAAAAGUAGUUGUGGUUGGAAGCUUGAUUCUAUCUAAUUUUGGUAAUUCAGUUUGAGCAAGAUUACUUAAUUUUUAAGUAUAAACUGCUUUUUCUUGCUUGUAAUAAGAUUAGGUAUUAUUAAAUUAAUAUCUUAUUUCAAAAGAAUCUUAGACUCUACCUUUAAAACAGAUAUUUUAAAGCUUACAGCUUGGUAGGGUUUGUUAGUUGAUUAUUGCUUUUGUUGUGAGAUUGUACAAUUCACAACUUCAAGAAUAACAAAACAAGGGAAUAUUAAUUGUUCUAGAGUAAUAUGGUGUGAGAAUCAGAAUUACAUUUUAUGAAAGCCUAAAAGAUUGUUUCUCUCUUCUCUAAGCCUUUGAAGAGCUAUAGUAAGCUAAAUUUUUAAUUGCAGACUGCUUCAGUUUUCUUCCUGAAGAAAAAAAAGGCUGAAUUGUUUCUGUGUAGCUGAUAGAUGAGCAAGGAGUGAAAUAAUUAGUUUCUGAGAUGGAUUAAUCUCACCACAAGAUGAUUGCCAUGCAGAAACUGUAUGCCUGUGAUCUUGCAUGCAAGGUUCAGCUAUUCCUGCUUGGAAAAAAAACAAAAAAAGUGACUCAUUACCAGUCUUUCUCUUCUCAACAAGUAGGACUUGAUGAUCUUGGAGGUCUUUUCCAACCUAAGUGAUUCUAUGAUCGUGUAAGUAAGCAAUGAUCCUGGCAUAAAGUAAAGUGCAAAAGCCAGUGCUUUUGGAGCUUCCCUCACCAGGAUGCCUUAGCUUGGCAGACUUCUGUUCCUGUUUUACAGGCACAGGGAAGAAAAGCAGACUGGAGCCAGCAUAGGAAAUGCAGCUAUCACAGUAAUGCUGAUACAUGGGUCUGAUAUCGGUAGGGAAUUUGCAGCCACAAAUGGGGCUUGCCUGUGUUGAGCCCUGUAAGAGUACAGAGAAGUUCUUUGCCUUCUUGGUAAAAUACUUAAACAGACCUAACUAUUCACACAUCACUCUUGUUCAUUCUGCAUUCCCUUUACUUAGGGCCUCUUCAGCACUUUGACCCAUGUAGUAGAGGCUGGGGAAGAUGAAAACCAAAAGAAAAUGGCUCUUGAGGUAACCAGUUGAGCAUUCGGUUCCUUUUUAGCCUCAAUAUAGAGUUGUCUUCUGUCUUGCCAACCUGGAAAAACAGCGAUGUUUUGUAAAUAUGCCUUGUUUGUUUUCCCUGAAGCUAUGUUUUCUUAUUCAAGCAUUCUGCCAGAUCAAAAGAGUUUUUUUAGGUGCAAAUUUCCUAGCAGGAAAAUCUCUUAUCUGCCAGAACCUUGAAAUUCAGGAUGUUCAAACCCAAGCCAAACAAGCAACUCCCUCCCCUCAAGACUUGUAAGUUAAAUCAGUGCCACGACAGGCUUUGUGUCUGCACAAAUUUAGGGCCAGAGAUACCAAGGGAAAGAAGAAAAAUUCUUGCACUUAAGUGCCCCGUCACCCAGGAAGGUGCUCAACUUCUUAUUCUCUUUAGUCUGAAUAUUGUCCUUCCUUCUUGUGUAGUGUAUCUUUUGAAUUUUCUCUUUUCCUUUAUCUAAGAUAUUGGAAUAGAAACAAUCCUGUUGAGUGUAUGUUUCUGGGCCUGAGAAACAUUUCUUGGCAGUCUUCAGCCGUACUUGAUCUUGUAUUAAUCUGGGGACUGUAGCACAGGUUGAAGGGACACUUUACCCCAGCUGACCUCCUGCAGGAAGAGCAUUGAGGGUGCAGGUAUGUGUUGGCAAACUCCUAAUCUGCUACGGUGAGAACUGAGUUAAUGCACUAAAGUUUUUCUUCUGUAUCAUUCUGCAGGAGCUCUAGGAAUGUGUCACCUGAAAAAUAACUCGUUUACCUUUUGGUCUUGAGGUGAUCAUUGUUAGGAGUAUGAACCUUGCACACGAGAGGGUGAUACUUGAGCAAACAAAUUGUUGAGUAUUUGGCAAGAGACAUUAAAGCUAAUGAUUUGUUUUUUAAACUGAGGAAACCUAAUAUGAAGCACAUUUAUGAGGGUGCUAAGAAAAUGCCCUUAACUUAAACUUGAAAUAGGUACUUAAAUAUAUAAUAUUUAGGAAUCAGUUGGAAGAAGAUAGCUGUUACUAACAGUUAGUAAUCUACAUGUAUUUCUUCAAAUAUGCUUUUCAAAAAUGGUGCCAUUUUGUCUUUUAUGGCUAAUACCUGAGCUGUUACUAAGUUUUGGCUAUUAGCCUCAACAAAAUUCCUUCAAGAAUGAUAUUUUGGACUUAAAACAAAAAACAAAACAAAACAACAAAACAACCACUUUUUGUGUAAGAUUUUGCAGAGCAGUUUGGACUGAUUCUGGAAACUGCAGAAAGCAGGAGAGGUUUUUUUUUUUUUUUUUUUUAAGGAUUCAUUUCUUGUUAUAAAUUUGGAAGGCUGUCUAACACUUAUGAAUCCACAGGUAUUUCUCAUUGUAGAAAGUUUCUCUUGUAGUGUCAUCUUCCUGAGAUUGUUUUUUAUAAAGUAUAAUAUUUUUUGCUAGAUUUUUCUGUCAGGGAAGUCUUAAACACGUACAAUGGCCUGCUGUAGCAUAGUAUUUUCCGGGGAGAAUUUCAGCCCAACAACCUGUGUUAGAAAGCUGUACGUGAAGUUCAGUUGAUGUGUGAGCUAAUGGAAGAAAAUUGCAGAACUGUUCUAUGUUGUUGAGUCUUCAGCAAAAUACGCUUCAGCACAAAGUUUUUCAUAUUUUUGGGGCUGUAGUCUAGACUCUUGUUCCGCAAUUUACUUUCAAAUAGCUUUUUCCUGAUUCCUAAUGUGCUUAAAUGCUCACAGGUAUUGAAAUGAUUUCUCAAAGCAGAGAUCCCUUAAGCUUGAAAAGAUACAUAUGUUUGUGAGAUUUUCCCCCUCCCUGAUUCAGCUGUUUAGAGAACAUCAGAUUUCUGCUCUAAUUUUUGGUGAAAGCACUUCAGUGAAAUGAUGCAGUACCCAAGCAUGUCUUUGUGAUUCUUUAGUUUCCUGAGAACCCCUUUCACUUUAGGGCACUUGAAAGCUUUUGUCUGAGUGAAGUUCUGCUUUUCUUUCAGUUAAGGUUUACACAAAAGGUGUAAUGCAUGAGAGAUUUAUUUCUUAGGAAGAAAAUACAUACUAUUCUGGACUACAAAUUGUGUCUUUAAGGGGCAUGUUAUGUUCAAUCAAUGUUAUUAACUCUUGCUUUUCAUGCAAGGAGUAUAAAUUUUCUUUAAACAGGAAGAAAAGCUACUCAAUGAAUAGCAUUGGACAGGAAAAUGAUGUAGUAUACAACUUGUAAUUCACUAUAAAUUUUGAGACAUUAUUUUGAUAAGAUUGUUUGAAACAGAUUUUUUUUUUCAACCUGAUACAUUUUAGUACCUUAAUUUCUUAGCUUUUAAAGUGCUAUAGUAAUUGUGCCAAUAGCAACUUUGAGACAAUUGUAUAAUUAUAAAUGAAAAGUUCUAGAAGGUUAUACAUUUUUCUCAUUUUCUAACUGUACAAUGUUUUCAUCAGAAUCCUAUUGAAAUGCCAUAGAUGGAAAGGUAAUGCCUUCCUCCACUCUCAUGAUUACAUCCUUACCUGAGAAGGCUAAUUUUGUUUGUCAGUUUUCAGAGUAGAAGUAUGUAAAGAUUCUAGUACUUGUAUUUAUCUAGUCUGUGCUGUAGGUUGUAUUUACUUGCAUUAUCACUCUGUAACAACUAAAGAUAAUACAGUGAGUGUUUUGUGGAAAUGUUGCACUAUUUCCUUUUUAUGGCUUUUAUUUAGCCUCGAGUGAAUGCAGUUACAUAUAGAGAAAUGUGUAUCCCCCAUACUGAGUUUUUUUCAGGGUUUUUAAUCAGACAAUGGUAUCAGCAGUUCAUACUACUGAGCCUUAUCUCCAGUGUUGUCAGCACAGUGACCUGCAAUAACAUGAUCCUUGUGGAAGUAGAGGACUUUACAUAGCUAAAAGAAACAUGGCUUUAGAAGAGGUAAUUUAAGAUAAAAAGAUGGACUGAAUGGGUGCUUCUGAAUUGUUGCCUACUGUAGUGAGGCUGACCUAAGUGUUCUCUGUAUUAAGUUCCUUCCUGUCUUGUUGGAGGACUUGAUGUUGCAUUUCUUGAAGUUAAGCCUGUGGUUUGACGCCGUAGGGACUUGAAGAUGAAAGCUGUGAGAGAGAGGUCUUACACUUCCCAGAGUACUGUCACAGCGUGCAGAUGUGGUGGUGCUCAGUGGACUGGCCCAGGUUUUUAAAAACUGUCUUAACAAAAAAGCUACCAUCUUCUGAGGCUGUAUUUUUUACUCAGUUAAUAGUGUAGCUCCACAAACAGCCUUGUGUGUACAAUUGGAGAGGUGGUAUGAACCCCUAAGCUGCUUGAAGCCUCUGUACUGUCAAGCCAGAAUCUUCCCGAACAGUACAUAUAUACCUAUAGGGACCUGAUGGAUGAUGUGAAGGAGGAUUUCUUUUGUUACUAAUGCUGUAAAAAUCCUAAUGUCAUUAAAUCAUAGCCAAGAUACAAGACUUUUUGUCUUGUGUCUGUCCUUGUUGGCAGGACCAAAUGUGAACAUGCCGUGGCUGUUCUGAAUAGGCAGGAAUAAUUUAGAUAAAAUUUCUGCGUGUAGGUAUAACAGUUGGCCAAAAUAGAAAGGGUCAUUCAUAUUUUUCCUCUUCUUAUAAGAAAAGAGAAUGAUUAUAAAAAAUAAAUCUAUGACUGAAUAUAUGAAAUUUAAAUGUUAUUUUACUAAGGUCAGGACAGAUGAACCCAAAGCUCCUAAAAUGAAAAUCACAACCUUUGUUCUGGCUCUGUUUGUUUGUUUACCUCGAUUCUUCAACCGUAUUUUUCUGUAAGUACCAAUAGUAGUUUGUGCAGAAAGCUACACCACGGAAAUACUGAAUUUUCAGUUAAAGUGCUGGCAAAGGCACAUCAGGUUUGCUCAUGCAUUUAUGAACGUUCAGUUUGUGCACUAUGUAAAAAGGAUAUUGAACCGCAAGUUAGAUUUUUUUUUUCUUUAUUAUUUGGAUGUACAGAGCCACGAAGCGGUUUGCGGGCUUGGUGUGGGGCUCGGUGAGGAGCUGAGGCGAUUUUGGCCGCUGGGCGGGCGAGGGGCCGGUGAGGUUGCGCGCUGCCGGCCUGAGGGGAGCCGCCGCCAGGGGGCGCUGCGAGCCCGCCUCGUGUCGGGGCCGCGGCCGGAGGGGCUGCGGCGGGGCGGCCGCCCCUGCCCGUCCCUGCCCUUCUCCUCCAUUCCCCUCCUUUCUCUCCCUUUCCUUUCCCCUCCUUUCUCUUCUUUCCCUUCCCCUCCUUUCCCUUUCCCGUGCGGAGGUGCCCGCUGAGGAGAGCGGGGGGCCCCGGGGGGCUUCCCUGCUGCUGGGGCUGCGUCCCCUGGGACGGGGCCGUUCUGGGGCUUGCUCCCCGAAACGCUGUGUUUGUCGCCCUUCUGGGGCUGAAAAUUGAUUUUUAAUGCUUCAGCAGCACAUAAAUCCUUCUGUUCAACAUCUAGCGUUGUAUCAAAACACAGAAAUCAUUUCACUCUUUAAAGCCACAGAUGUUAAAAUUAUAUUUUCAGUCCGCUCCCAUUAAGACUUCCCUGCGAAAGGAGGCAGUGCAAUUUUGCCUGUAAGCACAGACGCACCGUGCUAUCCUUUAUCUGAUCUUACACAAACUGCGUGACACUUUUCCUUGAGUGAGUUUAAACACGCAAACCUUACGGCUGCCGACGUCCUGACAGCUUCAGUCGGUUUGAUUUCUGCAAGCCACAUACGCGGUGGAUAUUAUUACCGCCCCUAAAAAAAAAAACCUCUAGCUGCUUGUAGUUACGCUGAAAUUUACUGAAAAUUAAGCUUUCGAAUGCUCAUUUGGUAGUCUGAAAAAGGAGGUUAGAGAAGCAUCUCUUUUAAGCGAGUAAUUUGUUAGGAGCUUGCUGCAGGCAGCUGUCUUUUAGCAGCACUAAAAUGAGCUGGAAGAUUUGUAUCCACCUAAAUUUUGCGUUCAAGUAUUUCUCGAGGUGCAAGUUUUGAACUUAAAGUCAAAAGAUUUUUCUUCGUGCUUUGUGUGCUCUUAACUGUGUUCUUUAUUUAUAAUCACGAUAUACAAUUGUUUGGUUUGCUAGAUGAAUAUUUCAUAUAGCUUCAACACUUGCAGAAAUGCAGCAAUUUUGAUGUAGUCAGCAAUAUGAAAGCCCAAUUUCUCUUUCUUAUUCUCUUCAAUUUAGGUAAAAUACUGCAAAUGACAGAUUCUGAAUUUGAUUUUUCUUGCUAAUGCAAUAGGCUCAACUCUAACUAAAGAAAUCAAAUUGUACAGAAGAGGAUAAGCAAAUAAAAAUAUUAAAAAUCUACAUAUAUUUUUUUUUAAUUUCAGGUAUUAGUUUAGUUUAUGAAUUUCAUGUUAGUCAUUUGAAAAUAUUCAGCCUUAUGCUCCAUGUUUGUUAGGGGAGAAAAAAUGUACAGGUUAUUUUCCCUGACUACUCAGAAGGUAUUUUCAACUCAUUUUUGAUGAGUAUAGAGUCUGAAGGUUAUUUUGAUUUCUACAAAUUCAUUUAAUGUAUUAUUUGUUCAGUUUUGGGUAUAUGCAAACUUAAUGUGAAAGCAUCAUAUAUUCUUCCACGCUUCAGAUCACCCAGAUACAAAUGACCUCAUGUUUAUAUUUUAUCAUUAAUUUGUUGAAAUAUUGUGGUAAAGAAUAUCUACUGUGUUAGUUUCUACUGCAAGCAGAGUCCCGGCUAAUUCUUGUAGCUGCUUUACUACAGAUCCAUUUAUGAAACAAUAUUACUCCGAACAUAUGGCAAGGGUGAAACUUGCUUUUUUUUUCUUAGCAAACAUUUUAAUUUCGCUGUACCAUGAAAAAAGUCUGGAUAUAGCCAUUUGUUUUUUAGGAGAUUUUUUUUCAGGCAGUUGCUAGAACAUACAGAAAUCCUGGUAGACAGGCUUGUAGUCAUCUAUCAAACAGAGGUAGGCGCCUUCCUGGGUGCCGAAAAGUUAAGAAAGCAGCAGUUUUAGGCUACCUGUGUGUUUGGUGGAAACAGAAACAGAACUUCAUCCAGAAGAAAACCCAGACCCUGUGAAGACAGCGGUGUCCAUUGUGGUAAAACUUUCUGCUUCAUCUUUGAUUAUGAAUCUUUGGUCUUAGACAAGGUGCUUCAGGAGUGGAAAUUUCCAUUCAUUUAGACUGCCUGGAUUGCUCUAUCUCUACUUUGUGCAUGGUCUCCAGCAGGUCCUUUCUUAAGAGACUGAAUUUUCAUGGUCCCUGUGUUGCCAUGUGCCUUUGGCUAGUUAUUUUGACUCUCAGCUCAUUUGUUCUUUUGGUAACACUUCUCCCAGUGCGUCUGGACCAAAAGGAAGAGAAUGAUCUUUUAACACCUUCUUGCCUCUUUCCAUUCCCCCCUCCCCUUUCCUUUUCUGCUAAUGCAAGUAUUUAGCCAUUUCCUUCCCCAAAGAAUGCUGUAAUAAACUUGAGGGAGCUGAAGAAAAGCACAGCAAACGGCACAAACCCCAUGUGCCAAGAUCUUAUUCCAAGAGUCAAAAUAAAGGAAACGCAGGUAGUUCUUUUGAGCAACCAUUCGAAGCAAGAAAUCUCGGGUAAAAAAAAUAAAAAUAAAUGAAAAUGGGUUGAAAUAAUUAUUAGCAGUAAAUAUAAAACAAAAGGUCUUUUUUUAGGUAUCUUCCUUAUCAGAUGUAUUCUGUUUUGUGGCCAGACACAAGUGCUGAUGUUCUGAAUUUACUACCUAAAAUAGAUGCUUUUUCCUGAAAACAAGAGCGUUGUUGGGGACAUAAUUUGCAUAAUUCAAAAAAAAAAAUGGAAAAACGCAUUGAACAGUGGAUUUCUUGCAGAAAUUGUAUGUAACUUCUGCAUGAAACUUUUUUUUUGAGCUGACAGUUGCGUCUUGCAACAGCUUAAACUGGCAGCGGUCCCUGCAGGCAGGUAGGAGUGCACUCAGUGAUGCUUCCCUCUCCUGCUCUCAGGCUGGUGUGUGGUGGUGGGUGGCUGUGCUUUGAACCCCACGGGUGCUGAGAGGUUGCUGAGCGGUGAGGCUGGGAACAGCACUCGGGGCGAACAGAAACAACGUGAAUCCCUCCAGUUUGGGGGCUGUCAGAAUGGUAGCUUUUUAUAUGAACUUCAUUAUUCUAUAACUUUUUUUUCCCUGAGGAAUACACUUUUUAUCUUGCAUUGCAACAGAGUCAUCGUAAUCUUUUUUUAAAGAUCAGCAAGGAUGUUUUAGUGAGCAGGAAAUGGCAUCAGUUCUUGUUUCUCGCUUAAUAAUGUUUUAUGGAUUUUCCACGACUGCAUAAUCUAGAAAAAUUAAAUAGUGUUAUUCUUUUCUGGAAAAAAAUCAUAAGUUGUCAACGUAUAAACUCCAUUAAAUCCACAUUAUGCCAUUUCUGUGUAUAGUGUUUGUAUUUCUUAAUAGACUAAGAUGUGUUACUGGCCCAAGGUUCAGUACCAAAUCUUGAAUUGAAUCCUUGAGCAAUAGACUUGGUUGAAAUCUGUCUUCCUAAUGGGAAACCUGCUGACGUGCUGGACUUGAAGGGAUAAGAAAUCAAUUCAAAGAUUACUGAACUUAAAUGAUUUUCUGGAGAAAUAUCAGCCUUUGAUAGAAAGGAGAAAAAUCCUCAGAGCAUAGAUCUAUAUUUUAUCAUUAUUUGUGAUUAAUAAAUUCUAUUAAACCCAGUGGUGCAAUCAAAAAUAUGUGGAGGAAACGGGAAGAGCUCAAACUUAGCAAAUCUUACUUAGUGCUGUAGUCUGAGUCAAUGUGCAGAAUCUUUAUAAUGACAAAAUUAGGGAAGUAAAAAUUUAUUUUAAAACUGUACUAAGAAUGACCUGGGGGUGCAUAGCUGCAGAUAUAAUAGUUAAUGGUAAAUGUAUAUAACUUCUCAUCAGCUGUGCGUACAAAAUUACCCUUAUUGGAGAUAAGGUUGUUCCUGCCCAUCAAACCUAAAGACAUUUGCUUUGUUUUGGUUUGUGGUGUGUUGGUUGAGAAGUUUCUAUAGUACACAGCUUGUCUUUUGUUUCGCUGUUUGCUGAAUACACAGUUUGAUUUCUUUUAUUGGAUUACAUGCCUGAGUUCAGCAUAAAUUCAUGCAGUAGAAAAAUCCACAUUAAAAUAGAUUGUUUACUCUUCAGUAAAAUGCUCGUGCAUUUUUGUAGGUCUAGUAUGAUAUCCUCAGUGCAGAUAUUUAUAGCUGACAUGCAGCAUUGUGGAGCUUUAUUCAAUAAUAGAAAUGGAAACAUUUCUUAAAACUUUUUUUUAGGGGAAAAAAAGGCAUGUUCUUUGUGCGAUAUAUUUAGGUCAUAAGGGACAUCUGCUAAGGAUAAUUUUUUUAACACUUGCUAACAAUCCUAAUAUAAUAUGGCCUAUUCAUCAGUCAUAUUGUUCCUGACUUGGCUGGUGUGGAUUUUAGUGAUUCCCGAUGUGCAUUCAGACUCUCUUAAUUGCUAGUUUCUCGCUGUUCUAUCUUAUUGUUUUGGAGGACAAUGCAUAAACGGGCGCAGAAUAAUCAAAAUGGUUUCCCUGGCCAUAUUAGGCACCUAACAGAGAGAUACUUACUGUGUGUGUGUGUUUGCAAGUGGAAGUCUUACUGAAACAAAGUAAAUCUUAAUGUGGAAAUGAAGAUUUGAAUUCUCUCUUCAUUCAGUGUGUGUGUUUAUAAGCAAAUAACUCUGGAUACAUCUUGGAGCUUUUACAGCUUGCAUUUAUGCAGGAGAGAAAUUAGAGGGGUAAGGUAGGGAGACAGAACAGACACUGAACUUCGGGAAUUUAGGGUUCUUGAUAACCUGUUAUAUUGUGCCAGUUUGGUGCCUUUGAUUUAGAAGGGAAAGCUUGUUUGGAGAUCUUUGUGCUGUAACUGAGAUCUAAUCUUACAUUUGCAUGAAGCCAGAAUUGCAUUCGGCUGCAAGGCAUUUGACUCCUCAAGAGGUGCGGGUAAUAUUCCUCCAGCUUGCACGCACAAGACGAAUAGCGAGAUGGGCAACGCGAGGCUGAGUUGUUGGGGGGGGAGAGGUUAUGGCAGGCUUCUGUGUUUUAGGUUUUAACAUCAGUGAAAGAGGAAAAAAGGACCAGCUGAAAGACUGGCAAAAUUCCUGAGAGGUCCUUGCAAUUUGACUUCCCCAUGUAAAUGGAAAUACAUCUUCCCACCAUUUUUUUCUUUUGCGUGUGCAAAAAUCUUGGUUUUUAGUGGUUCAUAUUGCUCUGUACUGUGGACUCACUUACUGAUAAAUUAAUACCUGAUGCUUUAGGGUAAUCUUUCUAAUUAUUGAGUGUUUUAUCUUAAUCCAGUUUCUGUAACUCUCAACUGUUUUUGAUAGUGAAGGAACAAAAGCAGAAAUCAGGGCUUUUAUAGUAAGCUGGGGGAAGCUUUCUUUAUAGCUUGCUUCAGGUGUUGAAUCUCUUUUUAAGUCUUAUCCCUCUGAUUUUGGGAGGAAACAAAAGGACUUCAUUUGCUAGAUUUGUCACACAUCUUUAAUCAGGUGGCUUAGCCAAGCACAACAGGUCAUCUUUUAAAAUCCCACAUAGCUGCAAAACAUGAAAGUACUUUUUUUAAUAGUUCCUUAGGUGAUUUUUAGUUCUGCUUUAACAAGACAUGUUUAAUAAAAUGGGUUUGGGCUAUUAAAGUAGUAACAGUGAUUGGAAAUAAAUCAGCUUGUGACUGUUCAGCCACUUGCUGAGUAUACUUGAAAGACCAUGGUGUAGGCAAAUGUUGAUUUUAUUCCGAGUCGAAAUCCGUAGCUACGUAGCUUAAUUAAAUAAUUUUACUAGACUUGAUAGUUAUUCUCUGUAUGAAAUAGUUUAAAAUUUGAUUCAUCCAUGCACUGCUGAUUAAAAACAGUUUGGUAAAAGCUUCGUGUAAACUGCUUUAGUUAAAGCGUGCUUUCUGCUUAAGCUGUGCGUUUCACAGAGCUGCUGAUUUUCUGCGGCUGCAGUCGGGGAGAAAGGAGCGAGGGAAGACGGCUUGAAAAGGAAAUUGAAGACGCUGUUGUAAGAAUGCAGUUUGGACACUGGGUGCCACUCCUGGUACACACAGAGGCUGGAAAGCCUUCCUCGUGCAGUGAAACAACGAGUGCUCUUAAAAAUGGAGGUCUCUUAUGCUCAUAAAAUUCUGAAGGUCUCUGUCCUCUGAGCCAAGAGGUUCAUCUGGUUGGAAAAACAUAUUCUUCAGUCCUGCGAGGAGUAACUAAAGCUUACAAGGGCAAGGCUUUUUUUUAUUUCUUCUGUCAUCAUGCUGGGGAUGAUUUUCUGGACUUGAUGUCUUGCUAUCUAGUUACAUAGCUUCCAUCAUGUGCAAGAAAGACAAGAUUACAGCACCAAGUGUUCAGGAAUAGGGGAACUAAACCAAAUACAACAAUUCUCCUCAGAAAUAGGAAGAGGAAUUUGGAAGUAAAGUACGAAUGAAAUGCCUCCCUCAAAUUUUAUCAUCUUUGUGUUAUUUUUUUCAUAGGCUUAUUGCUGUUAAAAGAGUACAGUGUUAAAAACAAUCAUGAGGUGGUAUGCUGCUGGUGGAAAACUGCAUUGAAGGAGACCGUGAAGAAUGGGUUAGGGGUUGAUCAGCUUACAGAAACUAGGGUUGGGCAUAUAAAGAUCCUUUUCAAUAAGCACCAAGUGCUAAAGGUAAGAGGAGUGAGGAGAUGUGUGCAGAUGUAAACUGGAAGAAGGUUACAGCUCCUGUCCUGAAAGCCGUGGAGCUCAAGCUGGGAAGCGCAGCGUGAUUAAUGCCUGACUGUGCUCGUGCCUGGAGGCAUCUGCUGGCUCCGGGUGUCCUGAACGUUGUACAAACACAUACGUGCUCAAACCAUUCAGAAAUGACACGGGAGUGGAGGUGGCCAGGACUCCUGGUGGAAUACUGGCCUGUCGGUAACUGGCUAAUUCGGAAACAGAAAUUUCAGUAGUACUGACAGGUAAAUGGGGGGGUUUAGAAGGCUAAAUGGCACAGCAUUAAAAAAAAAAAAAAAAAGUUAGACUUCUAAACCCAUUUUCCACACAAAAAUUUUACUCGCUGUCUUGUUUGAAAAGGAUUUGAAAUAGUGGGUCAGAAAUUAAAAUGUGCAUGGAAGGGGGGGAGGAAGGCAAGACACUACUUGAAAUAAUGAAUUGCAGGGUGAGGGAUGAGGGAGUUCUUUGUGAAAUUUUACUUUGAUACAAUUAUGCAGAAUUAAAAGCAAAAAGUCCCUCCAUCCUCAAAUGUAGAAAUUCGAGCUUUUGGUUUCGCUUUUCAGAAUGACAUUUGCAAAUGGGCUCGUGUUACUCAGUGCUCCAGUCUGUGCUGUUUGAACCUUCCAAGCCACUUACAGUGAUGUUCCAAGUGAGAAAUUAAUCGAUGCAUUUGGAUGCAUAAAGCACAAAGCUAAAAAUUUCAGAUUGUCCUAUUUCUUUUGUGUGCUUGCUGUCAGAGGUUAUAUUCUUCCUGUUAAAAUCUUAAAAGUUUAAAAUGAAACUUGUAAGUGAAGUCUCAAAGUUGCCAUUAUUUUUUGGGGACUUCCCAGGACAAGCACAGUGGCCCGUCAAAGCUAUGGCAAGCGUGAGUCAUUUGGUACAUCUUUUGCAAUUAGCUUAGCUUUAUGUAGAUAGUGAAUAAUACAAAGCCACAUUGGCUUCUGUAAUUUUGCCAACUGUGGCAAAAAGUAUGACUUUAAAAUAAGUUUGUUUCUGAGACCUCCUUAUCAAAAUAUACCAGAUACAUAAGCAGAGCCAGAAAUGAAGGAAUUGGCAGCAAACCUUCUGUUGACACCUGGAAGUUUAAUAAAUGGACCAAUUGAAAUUAGGAAUACGGUGGGCGAUAAGCUGGAGCCACCUGGGUUUUAUGGGCUACUUGAUGCUUUGAUUGCAACUUUGUUUGGAGUUAUCCAUUUAUAUUGUCAGUGUUCCUUGUCGCUGCUGUGUUUUCUAUUUUAAUCUCACACAAUAGGAAGGAUUAGAAAAAGCAAGGCACUACUCAGACCAGAAAUGGGUGUGGAAAGAUGCUCUUUCAGCGUGCCCACCUCAGAACAAAGCCAUUUGUAGGACAAAACAUGGGAUUGGAAGGAGGAGCAGCAGAUAGCUUUCAGCUGGGCGUCCCCUGCAUCAGGCCAUGAAGAGCAUCCUAAUACGCUCUGAGAGCUCAAGGGGGCUGUGAGCAGGCAGGAUUUCCGUGCUGCCAUUUGGGUGGAGGGCUUAGUGGGGCCGGCCGUAGCGGUGUGCUUGUGUUGGCACUCUGUGCCCGGUCCCUUAGGGGCUGGGGUGAACAAGAGUAGCUGCAGAGCUUUGUCUCAAGUGGUUGUGCAGCUCAUCAACACACUGAGGGUCCUGGUCCAGCUUCAGGUUCUAUUUCUGCACUCUGUGUGAUGUUGGCAUGCUCCUUGUUGCUUUUUCUUUGUUUUCCCUUCACUUAUUUAGCUAAGUCUAACAUGAAGGAAAGGAUGCUUAAGUCCAUUUGGUAACAAAUUCAUAAAAACGAUCCAUUUUCCCAACUUGAAUAUGGGAAAUACCUGUCUUUAUCCUUUCCCUUAAUGUUUUUUGAUGCAGUUUUAGGGAGAUGAAAUAAAACCUUCACUAUACCCUAAACACCUAGGUGGCUGUAACUUUCUGAGGCUUUGCUGACUGGCAGAGCUCUGAGAACCACCUUGUUUGAUAGCAUCUGUACAUUUGGGAAUGGAUACCUAAGAAUAUUAUUCAGACUCAAACUCAGCAAGAAAAGUAGCAUUGUUGAUCAGGUACUCAGCACUGUUACUAAAAAAAAAAAAGCUAAGAGGAUGAUAGCUGAUGUUUCAUGCUAAGGAUAAUGAUAAUUCUCAACUGGAAUUUGGUUUGGUUCUCUUGGGUCUUUGGGAUCUUUGCAGCAGACAGCGAAAGGAUGCUUGGUUGGCUCCAGUAAGGAAAAGGUUUCUACAAAAGGAAAAAAAAAAAGCUGCUGCAUGUCCAAGAUAGCAACAACAAAAAGCAGUGGGUUUAAUUUUUGUUAAGGGAGGGGUAGAGGAGUUGCAAGGAGGAGCGCUGUAAGGACGGUGCAACAUGACAGUGCGCUGAAGGAGGUGGGUAGGGCAGAGUUAGCCAAACCCUCACCAGAAACAAGAGUUAGCUGUACCAAAAUGGGAUGAAACGGGUAUCAAACGACUUGCAGCUCUGUCCCUAUGAUCUUGCUAUUCUAUUCUAUUUAUCCUGAGUUUGAAAGAUCUUAAAUUACUUUUAAACUUUUCAAAUCUAUGCCUUUUAACAUCUGUAAUGUGAUCAACUUGUGUGGUAAUCUUUUCCAUACCCUCCCACCCCCGUGUGCUCCUCUGCCUUUGUACAGCAAGUGAUGGGAAUGUAGCUCGAUUUCACUGAAAAUAUUUGGUGUCCUGAAAUGGAAAACUCUGCGUAGUGUGAAAGUUUCUCAAGCUAUAUUUCAAGUAUCUCUGAAUAAUACAAAGAAAUAAUGCUUCACUUUUUAUUUGGCGUUUCACUCAGUUGUAUAUGUUGCAGGGUUUUCCCUUUUGACACAGAGGAAUGCAGUUGAUGUGAACAUGGUAAAUAGAGUAUAAUGUCCUAAUGACUUUGCGAUACAGUACAUGAGAAAAUAAUGGGUCAUUUGGGGAGGAUUAUUUUAGCAUGUGUGGGGGAAAUAUGGUAAAAUCACCCCCCUUACUAAAAAAAAAAAAAAGAUCAUGUAUUGUUUUUCUGUUGCCUGUUUACACAGAAGUUAAAGCUGUAUGUAGUUUUCCUUUAUCGUGUUUAGUAACUUGAAUGUAAAACUCAAGUUCAUUAAAUACAUGCAACUGUUUCACUAAUCCAUGUUUUUUCUUUCAGAGCAAGUUUAGUUUUGAGGCUAAUUUUUAAAUGAGUUUGAAUGUCAUUUCUUGCAUUCAAAGCAGUGCUGCAGUCCCAGCAUUUUCAGCUUAUACACAUGCAGUGUGUACAUGCAGCCAGCUUGUUUAUUUCCUGUCUCCUUCCUUCAGAAAUUCACGUGGUUAUUAUAGUCUGAUUUGCUUGCAAGGCUUAAGCAAAUCUCUUUCCACACGUGUCCACGGAAGGUGCUGGGCUGGCUCUGGUGGCCCUAGAUCCUCUCGCCUGUGCUUAGUGCGUGCUGUGGGUGGCAGAUCCCAGGUAAACCUGGGGAGGUCCGUGACCGACUGCGGGACCCGCACUGACUCGUGCAAUGCCUCUGCUUCUCUGAGUGCUUAAACAUGACACAAUGCUUAACGCUAUGUACAUAAAUAAAUUGAGCAAAUAAAAAUCAUCCUCUGUUUGCUUUCAUCUUCGUGUCAAAGCCAAGUAUGAAUACACACGCCCGUCCCCUUUUACUGUCUUAUGUCAGCUACACAAGAGGCACAGACUUGUGCUGUAUUCGAAGCCUUUCUGCCAUGUGUGUGUUUAGCUAUGGAAACCAGUUGUUUAACAGAUUUGUUUCUUGUAAGCCUGGGUAGGUUAUUUACUGGAUAUUAGUUACUUUUACGAGCACACUUUUGUGUAAGCCGUUAGUAGGAAACAUGCUGCCAAAUUUUGGUCUUUUGACUCAGGUAGACUUUUUCUUGUAGGCUAUUUCUUGAUUUGCUUUCCUAGUAAAGUCUUGCAGAUCUUUGGCUCAGAUAAAAGCCCUUCCCCACUUCUUGAAAAUGACAGGAAACUGUUAAGGGAAUGAAGUAUCUUGCACUCUCGUGAAAGGUAACGAUCAUACCACAAUAAAACACGAUCAUCUUUCCUGGUAUUGUCAAGAAGCACUAAAAUGUUUAAAGAAUUGUAGGCACAGCUAAAUAACUGAAGCUUUCAUUAAAUUUACUUACUAAUGUUAAUUGUAUUUUGUCUGUAAAUCAAUUCAAAGCCUUCCAAAUUAACAAACGAUCACUUAUGUUAGGUAGGAAUAGAGUUAAUGUAUUGUGACACGAGCAACAUAACAGAUCAGGUGUUUUUAAAUACUUCAGCAGUCCUUUAAUUAAAAAUGUAUUAAAUACUCAGAAAUGCAGUCAGUAUUUUUCUUGCAGAAUACUUUUCUUCUGCAGUAAGGGCUUCUGUAAAUGUAUAUGCGUGUUCCUUUUUGUUUCUGCAUGGCAGAAAGGUGUAUAGCGCACUGAACAUCUAUAAAACGCUGUUGCUGUUGGCUCCAUGGAAAGGGAAAAACAUUCAAAAGAGAUUUGGAAGAAGAGAAUGGAAAUGGACUUCUGCUUCAGGCUUGGGGAAUGGCAAAGCGUUUCUGAGCUGUUGGAAGAGAAAAAAAAAAAAAGAAGGCUUUGUUUAUACAACUAAAUCAGAAGUCAGAGCUCUAGUGCAUGCAGAACUGAAGUGUAUUUAGCUGGUGUCGUGGAACUUUGAUCAUCACCAUGGUUUGUUUUGCACUUCCUUGGUAGUGCCCCAUCGGGCUGUCUUUGAGUCGGCUUCCUUGUCAUCGUGUCACCCACACGCGCAGGCUCUGAAACUGUGGCUCUUCCAUCCUAUCUGGAACCUUACAAAAUGCUGCAUUUUCUUUAACUUCCUGAAGUGAGUUGCUUUUUCUUCUGUCUUUUCUGUAGAACACCACUUUGUGCUAAAUUCAUUUUCACUGGCACCUCCUUCCCAAAGUCUCUCCCAUCUCCCAUCCGAAUGAUGGCACGAGGGUAAUAGCUGAUUAACGGCUAUCUUCUGCUCUCUCCUUGAUCUUUCUCUUUCCUUCCCCCUGCUUCUCCUUUAACGCAGAGCAGAUUUGCCCUCGCUUGCACUGCUGCUCUUUUUUUCCCUGCACUUCCUCCUUUGAAACCGUUUUCUCUGUCUGAUACCCUGACCUGUUGGCCAGGCUGAUAAAAGCUCCUUUUGCUGCACUGUCCCUUUGGCUGCCUCUGCUGGAUCCAUAUCACUGGUGAAUCUCGACUGCGAAUUUUCCAGUGCUUAUUUCUUGCCUGCUCCUACCUCCAGAUCAUUUCAUUAAUUUAGAAGGAAAUCAUCUUCAAAUAUAUUAUUUAAAAAACAUUACGAUGAAUGAAGUGCAAGUGUUAAAACUGGUUCUAGACCCAAGGUGCAGCCUGAAAGUAUGCAAUUAAAAGCCAAACUUACAAAGAUGGCCAGUGAUCCUUGUGCUCCCCCUACGCUACAGCUUUUAUACGAGCUUGAUGGCAUCUGGCAGCAUCUCCCUUACAUGCAGCUGACAGAAGUUUCAUGGCUCUCCUCGCCUUGCAGCUGAAACCCUGCUGUCUGUGUGCAGCGUGCAGGCUGCGUGUUGGGGCAUUCAACCCGAAGCUGCAGAUCUCCUGAACCGAAUGCCCUCUUUUAUGCAGCGAGGGGUAGGUAGCCGAACCACAAAAGUGCACUGUGUCUAAGAUGUCUGCUGCGGGGCACCUCGCCAGCUGGUGUAGUAGGGAGUUUAAAUGGUUGUAAAGCUGCCAACACGAGGUAUAAGGUGGGAUAAGAGAAUGAUUUGUACCUAGAGUGUGAGAUUAAUACCCUGCACUUGCAUAGCACCUUUCAUUUGAGGAUCUUGGCACACUUUAUGAUCAGUUAAUUGCCUCAUAACCUCUCUGUGAGGUAAACUAUCACUAGUUUACAGUCAAAGAAAACUGAUGCAUAGAAGAAUUUAAGUAACUUCUUUAGGAUGCCUGGGUAGUUGGGGGAGAAACGUGAAGUUUUUCUCUCGCUAAUUCUGGAAUGCCAAACAUCACGGUGUUUAAUUUCCCUAAACAAAAGGCAAUAACUUACCCUCACUUUCUUAUUCCUCCAGCUCUUCGGCUGUGUGGGCUCCUUUUCUAUGCUUUUUCCCCCCUCUGUGCUCCUUUGAACUGUGGUCUUCCAGGUGGCAACUGAAGGGAGCUGCUGGAAGGGGAAACCAAGCGCGCUUUUAGCCGUGAGUUACAAGCACUGCAGCUCACUAAAAAAGUCUUUUUGAAACCCUGAAGAGCGGAGUUUUGCCAUGAAACAACUUCGAAUCUUUUUGCUUUCUUCCCCUUCUCAGCAUACAGGUGGCUCAGAGCCUCCCGGUUUGUUUCCCCUUGUUCUCGCCACUUUGAGAGGUGAUCAAACAGAAAGCAGCGGUGCCUGAGUUACCCUGCUCCUUCGCCAGGCUGCGGGCGAGGGUCUGGCAGCUGACGGUGAGGCAGGGCUUUGUCUCUGCUAGACCUUGCAGGCAUCAAGUCAUGGCAGCGUUAUUCAGCAUAGGAACGCACCUCUCCAUGCUCCAAAGAAAACAAUUUUUGCAGUUAGUUUGUUCCUAAUUGGCCUUUUCCACCUGAGGAAUAAAGCAAUCGGAGCUAUCUUUUUAAUUGUUUUAGCCACGCUUGUAUAAAGUUCCUCGUCUAUACUGGUUAUAAAGACAAGACUGAAGAGAAGCUUCUAUGUGCCAGGAAAUAAUAUAUGGGGUAUUUAAGUUGAAGAGUUGUUGGAAUAUGAAAAUUAAAUUUGUCCUGUAGGGAAACUGUGCUACAGGCUGCAUCCUUUGUAAUACGUAGAGAGCGCUAUCUUUAGAAACGUGACUGAGUACAGUAAUGCUUAAGAUAGACGAGUGCCUAAAAACGUUUGGAGCGGUGACAGUUUUUAUUUUGGUUCGAAGUGCACGUGGAUAAAAGCUGGCCACUCGCCCCGCUCCCCCCGUGGAACGUGAUUUCCUUAUUCCAUGUACCAGUUCUUGUUAGUAGGGAUUUUCUUCUAUUUUUAAGACGCGGAGUGAGAGGUGGUGAAAGGAAGCUGGUAUGAGCCAUGCGCUCAAUAAGCAAAACACAUUUUUGAAAAACACCAUAUUUUUGACCUCGGCAUUGGAGAAGAAAAAUAAAUAAGCAGGACUUUCCCUUAAGAUACUGUGGACUUGACAAGCCUGAUAAUUGGUUUUAAUCAUUCAUUUCAGAUGCUGUUGCCUCACAAGAGAACGUUUCUUUUUUGACUACUUAAUAAGUAGUAAAGCAGCUCAUGUUGCAAGGCAGAAUCAGAAGGUCACGUAUUCAAGAUAGACAAAGGUUUUUUUUUUGUGAUUUAUAUGUAUUUUUUAUCCCAAACCUACUGUUUAAUCGUUCUGCUUUUCUCAUCUGCAUCUUGUUUAAGUAAAGUUAUAUGGUAACUCCUCCUUGAAAUAAGAGCAACUGGAGCUGAACAUAAUUUAACUAGGUUUUUAGAGAUCUUUUCAAAAAGAAAAAAUGAGAUUUACAGAGCUUGUCUCUAUUACUAGAGACAAUUUUAGGAGCUUUUUAGGUGGUACAAAGGUGACUUGUGAUUGGGAAGGUAAUAUGUUGUUUUCAGGGAGCAAACUCAAAAGCUUUAGAGUUCAAAAAUGAUCUGAGUAGUUUUGUGCUAGAUGCAUCUGCUGACAACAUUUUUGGAAAUGAGGCAUUGAUACCUGUGAUGUACUGCAAACGUGUAAUAUUAACCUGCUCACUCUAGCUUAUCCUACCUCCAAGUCAGCUAAUUAGGGUCACAUGAGGUGUGUUACACAUUUUAGAGGUUUGUACGGGUACGUGUUCAAAUUUGCAUGAGUGAUAACUGAGCAGAAUUAAUCCCUUGUCUUGUAAUUAUACCUGCAGACCUUUUGAUCAUAGCUGUUUUCUCCUAGUGCUUAAUCGUGGCAUUUCUGCAUUCAGGAUGUAAUUAAAGAGCAGGCAUUAUUGGGGCACCUGUUGGUGUGAAGUUAUGGUCUUCAUCUGAAGAAUAACACCUUUGUUUGUUUGUUUUCCUCUGUGUAGUACAAAAUAUAUGGCAUUGUGGGACUUUUAUUCAUUUACAUGCUCCUUCUGCUUGGGGUUUCUCUCCCCCAUUUGUGCAUUUUUCACUGCUGCAGUGGUACUGAUGCAUCACCCAUUUUCAGUGCUCAGUUAAUUUGUCACACAGAAGAUAACUGACUCUACUGGCCAUAAAAUUUGUUUUAUUGCCAAUACAUUUAAACACUUCUGAUUAACUUUUAUUGGGGUCAUUUUAUUAAAUUUGAUGCCUGUGAGUAUCAUGCUGAGUUAAAGAUUGCUACUUCAGAUGCCACAAAUUUUAUUAAAUUGUUAUCUGAGAGCAUGGUGGUUCUUUGUUCCUGGCCUGGACAUCGAGUUUAUUCGGAAUCUGGCAAAAGAAUAUGUUGUUUCCUACUUUUAAAUUGGUGUCAUGCUAAGUCGUAGGGCCUCCCAAAUGCUUUACACAAUUAUUUUUAAAAGAUACAGGGAAAAAAUAAAUAUGAAGAGCUCACUUAAAAGCUUGGAGGGCUCAUUUGAAGAACAGCUUUAUUCACUUUGCCCCUUUUACAAAGGGUUUAGAAAAUAAUAAUGCCCAAUAAAACUCAGCUUUUUGUAGGUAGUUUUACAGUUUUUGCAGGGAACAAUCCAUCUGACCUAGUUGAAAUGCACGUUUGCUGUUUCUCUUCGCAGUGGGCUGGAAAUGAAGUUUUCGGUAGUUAAUGAUUCAGCCCUGGAGGAGCGUGUGUGUGUGGGGGGUGGCUUUUUUCAAACCCCGAACCGGUGACUUCUAGUGCAAGUUAAUUAGAUUUUACCCCUAAGAAGAGUAAAAUACUAGUAGGCUCACAGUGGCUCGGUAUCGAUUUGAAGAUUAUACGCUAUUAAUUUAGACUUUAAAAAUACAUCAAUACAUUUUCAUUCUUUAAGAAGCACCUCUGCUAGAAAUAGAUGUUCAUAUUUUUAUCGAUAACAAUUCAUUUUGAUGCCAUGUAAUGGGAGUUAUAUCACGAAGACUUUAUGUAGGAAUUAAUUGGUACCAUAGCAGUCAGUGGGUAUUACGAAGCCCGUCCUGCUGAGGAAUGGAUGUGGUCCAAGCUGUUGGAACAGGCCAGCUAGGAUAUUAAUUUUAAAUAGCAAAUGGGCUAGUAGGCAGUGUUUACCUACAGUUUAUAGAAGGAAAAGAAUGUCUUCAGAAGGCUUUUGGAGAAAAUCUUAAAUGGAUUAGCCCAGGUAGCCAACAGGAAAUAGAAAGACAAAGGAGGGCUGGCAGAACAUACCAAGGAGCAGCACUUGAGGAAAGGCAGGUGAUGGUUUACUACUCUUAUGUUUACUCGGGAAGAGUUGCCCAGGAAAGUAAACAGGCAACGCUUAAGCAGCAGGGACAAUGGAAAGAAACAGAGGGAUUUAAUUGGCAGAGAGAGAUCACAGCAAUGAGAAGAGGAGAAUUUAUACGUGGAGAAAUAAUGUGUUUACUGUGGUGCGAGCUGUAAUUCGGGGUUACUGGGAGGGAAAUGAUUACGGGAAGUGGAAUUUAUCAGGCGAAGUAGUAGGCUUUUGGAGCAUGGUCUUUCUGAGCAUAGUCUCCUUUGUAAAGAUAAAGGCUAAAAAUAGGUAAGUUGAUUUCCUAGAUUGUAAAAAACUGAGGGAUUUAAUUCGGCGCAUAAAAACAGCAUUUGAGAAAUUUGAUGAACUGCAUGGGAAGUGAUUAUUUUACCUCCGCGAGGGACCCUGUGGGCCCUCCAGUUUUUGACGCUGAGGUAAAUGUGUAAUUCUUUAAAAUAACUCCUGCUGCUAACCUAAGUAAAGAGAGAACUUUCAUAUAGAAACCUAAUACACGUGUUCCUUUAGUCAUGCCAGCAGCGCAGCCGUGAUGUUUCGUAGAGGCCUGUCUGCGGCUCCCAGUAACACAAUUGCCGACCAUCUGAGAGCAAUGAACGCGUUUCACCAUAAACCUGUAAUAAUCUGCUCUUCGGGAGAGAAGAGGGUAGUAAUCCUUUGCCUUGUGUCACCUAAUCUGAUUUUUAAUUCUUCAGUUACAUAAACACUACAAAAUCAAAAUGUGGGCAUCUGCUCCGGAACAUUUGGUGACUUCUUUUUUUAAUAACUUAUUUCUAUAUUUGGCGUGCAUCUUCUGUUAAAGAUUUUUUCAGGUUUUCAUAGACUAAUCUCCCUUCACGUUAAACCAUGUCUUUCCUUUCGUGUAUUACUUUUAUAAAAGGGAAGUUAAUAGCUUUGAAAUGCCUCAUUUCUUGAGCAUUAAGUAGUUUUUCACGUGAAGAAGUAUGUUUUCCCCCCUCUGUUCUUUCAGAGGAACAUGCUUUGUAUGAUUUUUUUAAUUAUUAAAAACACUUCAUUAUUGUGUGAUCCAUCAUAGAAGACAGUGUACUUGCACCUUAUGUGUGUUUAUCAUGAAAUACAAAGGGUUUUGUACUCCAUAUAGAUGGUAGUGAAGGUACUUGGGGUAGUGAAGGAAAGAUGUUUGCUUCUACUCAAGAAAACCAGAUUAUUUUCUUGAGCAAGAGAGCUGUUUACACAAAAUAUUGUCACUUCAGGAUACAUACGAAUUUAAUGACUAGAUGAAUCUGUCUGAGGUGCCAUCAGAUGGUGGUAUGUGUUUUUGGCACACCGUACUUACUAGUAGUCUGAUGCUUCGGGCCAGAUUUUUAGUUUAAACAGAUAAUUUAUCUGAAGACUGGGCAUGUAAAUACUGCUGCCCUUCCCCCAACUCACACUUGAUUUUUAAAAAUUGUGUCUGAGAUGUUUAACUAUUGUAAAACCCACUGGAGAAUGAGACCCAAGCACAGGAGAGGGACAGCAUUUGAAUUUUGGUCUGCCUGCUGUUUUUGGUAGGAAUAUCUGGUUUGAUGUGAAAGUUUACAAGUAAGAAGAAACUAAAUUGCUGGAAAUUACGGUACCUGGAUGGCCUUCAGGGAAGUCGAAAAAGAAAGAAAAACAGCUGACCAGCUAAUAGAUUGUAUAAUUUGUUAUUGGAAAAAAAUGAGACUUAAUAGCUGUUAGAAGACAGUAGGCAAUCUUACAAGCAGCUAAAGGAUAAUGGUUUGUAAGUCAAUCCAAAAUAAAUAAAGCUGGUGGUUCUUACUGUGUGACACUGAAGGGGGACAAAGUGAAAUCUUACAUUUUUUAACGUGUUGUUUUUCUAGGUGCAAUUAAUUAAUGACUCCUAAGUUGGUUUAUUUUUUAAUAUAAUUUGUGUAAUUACAACUAAUGGGAGGGAAAAAAAAGAUUUUCAGUUAUUUUAUAUAAAAUUUCACAAAAGAUGAGUUAAGUCUGGUAACAGCACUGGUCCUUGCAGUGGGCAGAUUGAAGUAGUUUUUUGGGGGGGCAAGGAGGGGGGGGGAGAGGAGUGGGCUUUGGGUGCUUCUCUUUAGAAUAAGAACAAGACCUAUGCAGUUUUGCAAACUUUACCAGCCUCAGAUAAUUGAGGGAUAGGACACUGACAAAUUGAUUUGACCCUCAUCUCGUCACACUAAACAUUUAUGCUGUGAACUGAAGGAUUCCUACAUAACAUAGGCUGCUUUGUGAGCUUUUUAAAUUUACAUUAAAAUGAUGUGUAGGUGUUUCUGGUACCUUUACUUUUUGGGUAUGUGGUGACUAUGGCUGCCAUGAAAGUGUUGAGGAAUUGCAGCCAAAGGGAGAAGUUUGCAAAACAGUAGUAAGGAUAGGGUAGUAGCUUGUGAGUGUUCUUCAGCAAUAUAUUAGAGGCCAAAUUUCAUCUGUGGAGACAGAUCUUCCUAGGCUUGCUCCUCACGUAUGAGAGGGAGAAGCUGAGUAGUUCAUGGGGUGGCAGGGAAGGUCUCAGCUCCAACGUGGUCCCACACUGAGAAUGUGAGCAUCUGAUCUGACCCUAAUAAAGGCAUAGCGCUGAAUGCAAUUGAGCAACAAAUAAUAAAAAUAAAUAUUUAAUGCAGUGCAUAACUAACCAGUUCAAUGUUCGCAGCAUUGCUGGAGGAACGAUUGUUUUUCAUUUCAAACUUGUAAGGCAGCACGACGUUGCACCUUCACAGAAAUGUGCAAGCAACGAGAAGGUGAGGUGAGAUAUCCCUGUAUUUCGCUAGACACAGGAAUUAUUUCUCAAAGUAUAACAAACUUUCAGUGUAACACUUCUGUUAAAAUAAGGUACUAGCUUUUAAGCAAGUUCUUCCUAUGUUUUAGCUGACACAGUUUGAUCAUUUUGCAAAAGACCCAGUGAGAUCCUCCUUUAAGCACAGUUUAAACUGCAACUGCACUUACUGUUCUGGUGAAACGUAGGGGACUGUAUCUGAUUAGGCUUUUCAUUACACACCGAAACGUGCUUUAUGGAUCAAUAAAGGCAGAUGUAUUCCAAGGCGAGGGGUUUUCAUGCAAAGUAGAGCUUGCUUGGAUUGCAAAGAAAAGCAGUAGGGCAGGUCAGAUUGAGGAGGAAGGCCAACUGGGAAGAAAAAGAAAAUAUACUUGCCAUUUUUUUUUUUACCAGCUAUGCUAUUUUGAGGGACGAUUGAGAGGCUUUGAGAAAAGGAGAAAAAGUAAUUUAGCCUGUUGGUAUAAGGCCUGAGCUGGUGAAGUAGUGUUUGUUCAGUAGGAAGAUGCUUUAAGAUGUCACAUCUCUAGGAAGGCACAGAGCGCUGACUGGUGCUCUGGGAAAUCUCAUGCUGUUACGAUCAUAUCUGAAGCCAUCAAACUCAGUUUGGGUACUUGAUCCUGCAUUUGCUGCAGAAUUAUAUAUAUAUGCUUCAAUCCUUUUAAUUGUUUUGCUAUUUUACCAGUCUCCCAAGGAUAGAAAUCUGUAAUAGGAAAAAUGAGAAAUGCAAUUCAGCGGCAGUUUAAGCAGUCAUCUUCGUGAUUCAUCUUGUCUGCAUAGGCUUCUGCAGGAGGGGAGGAUGUUUUCUUUGAUUCCUGUCCUGACUUAUUUCAUGCAGUUCUUGAUUGGUCAUAGGGUGAAAUACAAUGUGCACCAUUAUUUUCUCUGCCCAAUUUGAUCCUACUUGACCUGCUGACAGCACCACAAAACUGUAUGAGGGUGAGUGGUUGGAUGCACUGAGGGAUCAGGAGAAGAGGCAGAAUGGCUUAAAGCAAGGUGAACUUCCACAGGACGUGCAAUCUCAUCUCCCAGCCCAGGGUGGGAACCCUGCCGUUCCUCUGCGCACUUGGCUGCCUGCUCCUGCCUCCUCCCUUGCGUAGGAUCGGGCGAUUGCGUGACCGCAGACUGACUCAGAUGGGUUUGUUGAUCCGCCGGAGAAGGAAUCCAACAAGUUGAUGCAGCUCAUGUAGCUGGAGGAAGAGGCGGAAUGAGUAGGGACCACCCAUUUUAGCAGUAAUUGGUGGUAAAUAGGAUUGAGCGUAACAUGCAACAAUAUCAGUUUUGUUCCUGGCUUAUUUAUUUGUUGUCUGUUAACACAGUGCGGAGUUUAUCAUAAAGGGAUUGAGAGAUCUAAAUGCUACUGGGGUGACUUGUUUUUCUUUUAGCUAAAUAUCUAGAUAAUGCAUUAACUACUGUUGUUCAGAAAUAAGUUUGAGCAAAAUAUCAUAUCACAGGCAGAGACACAUCUGUCAGACCAUGCAGAAAACCUGAGCAGUUAUGUUUGUCAUUAAGGAGAGAACUAAAUUUGAACUCGCUGACAGGUUUGCCAAGUAUGGAUCUUAUAUGAUACUUACCAUGAGAUUCCUCCAAACUGCUCUACAUGGACAAGGCGCUGUAAGCAGAUAAUGAUUUAUAGACCCUAGCGUACCAAUUUCAUACGGGUGCCUUUGUCAGAAUAACAUUUUUCUCAUUUGUACUUUUAACAGCUGAUCGUAGUUACAAAAGGCUUUUGCAUCACUCUUGUCUUCAAAGUGUUUCAAAGAUGCAUUGCAAGGUAGACUAUUUGCAACAGUUAUUUGGAACAGAAGUUGAAUCUUGCUUUUCUUUUUUUUAAAGCCAAAUAAACUCAAGCUGCCCUCCUCCUGCCCCCCGGCUUGCUUUGUCAGAGGUGGUCCCUUUCUUUAUCCGUUCUUCCUCUGGAACCUUUCAGCACGUUUCUGCAGGGUGUCAAGGAGCAGGACACGAGCCUAAUAUCAACACCUAAUAAUUUGGUAUGCUUGGUAUCACAGCUCUAUUUCUGCAUGAUAGAUUCUUGGUAUCGUGCAUGAUUUAUGUCAUGACACUACUGGCUUAUCCACAUAUCUUCCAUGGCCAGUUCUUAAUCUCUGUUUUCCCUAGUUGAUCACGUUACAUUCAUCUGUUCCUUGUUUUUGUCUCCUGUCUUGCAUUAAGUACAUGUAAAAUUUCUCGAUUAGUAUAAUGCAGGCUGUUAUGCAAAGGUAAGUAGGAGAGGAGGGCCUUGUACGGAGAGAGGUCACUGCAGCAAUUUGUGUUAACGUGUGGUCUGUUCAGUGGAAAAGUUUUGGUGUUCCUGUGAUGGCAUUAAACAUUUUAAUCAUGUUCAUUUCUACUGUGAAACUUUUAUCCAGGAAAAAUAAGUUUGGGUCUGGAUAUCGUUUCUUCAUCGUCUAAGUUGGACUAACAAAAUGCCCACUAGAGUAUUUAUUCUUCUGAUUUUUGUCCCAGGCUUGAUGUUAGAAUUGUUUAGUGACCAAGCUCUGUUUCCACUGUCAGUAAUGUUCCUACCAUUUAUAACACUGUGUAAAAUCCAGUCUCUCUUUCAUCAGUACUAAUGGAAGUGAAUGAUAGUAUGAGGUGAUGGAAACAUUUUAUUUCCUAAACACUUCUCAGUUUGCCGUUGAUUUCGGUUACUCCGGAGGACUGAUCUUUCACAGCUGUUGCAAAAUGUAAGUGGGUUUUUUCCCUGCUGUGCAGAUAUCUGCCUUUUUCUAAACUCUCCGUGGCACAAAAGGGUCUUUUUAAAAUGUCACAAAUACAAAGCAAUUUAUGUUGGCAUUAAAUGUAAACAUUUUGCUGUGGUUGUUUAUGGAAGAAAUUGAAAGUUUAGGAGGGAAUGGGUAAAAAAAGAUAAAUAUUGAGCAACCUUCUUAUAGAAACAAGAAUGCGAGUUACACAUAGUUUAUUUCGUAGGAAAUAUCUUACAUUCAGUUUUAUCAGUUACUGUUUGAAAAUCCUUGGGGCUUUGGUUUUGUAUAAUUACAGUAGUGCCUUUUAUUGUGUACUCCUGCUUUUUGAAAGUAACUUUGUCAAAUGCAGUGGCGUACGGAAGAACUAUCUGUUGAAUGCUUGCUUGUGGUCUAAGACUAGUGAAAAGUAGAGAAAAUGACAUUUGCACCUAGAUAAAAUUACAUAUAUAAAUAAAUAAAUAUAAAUAUGCUUAGAUAGCUGCAUAGGAGUAAAAACUGUCUAAAACUGCCUGUGAUAUCAAGUGUUGGGGUAGGUUUUAAGUGAGAACUUUACUUGUAGGAAUUAUUUUCCGCUGAGGGUUAGCUCUGGACAUUAAUGCAUACAUAUGGAAGCACAAUGUUGAUUCAGAUGGAAGAGGAAAUAUCAAUUUAGAUUGAGGAAUGUGUUCCUUAUAAUCCUCCCUGUUCUCAGUUAUUCUUAUAGAGCUUUGCAUAGAGCUUGUAGCUAUGGUGCGGGAAUACUAACUUCAGUAGCAGAUGUGAGCCUGAAGCUUAUUACAUGUUUCACCAGAUGUUUCAUUUAUCUUUAGGGCAACCUUCUGGUUUGUUUUUUAUAUCAAACACUGUGAGAAAUCAAAAUUCAGAAUGUAUUUUAAACAUGUUAUGGGCAUUGGAGAUAAAGGAACCCUUUUAUAACCUAAAGAAGCAUUAUGAUGUCUCAUAUUUAAUAUAUUUUUCUUUUAAACCGUAUUUCAAUAAGAUACUUUAUAAGUUCGUGUAUUGAUCCAAUUUUCUUUACACCAAGCUUGCUUGUAAAGAAAAUGUAGUCUUAAACUGAGUGUGUUUUGUGAAUGCUCAUUGUCUACUUCUGUAUUUCUAUAUUAAUAGCUUGUUCUAAUAUUUUAAAUAUUUGUUAAAAUUUGUUUAGUUAAAAAUCUUCAGGUUGAAGAAAGCUCAGUGUUUUCAGGUAAUAACUUUGAAUUUCAAGAAGAGGCACUACAGAGAAGGGCGAUUCGGUUGGUGGUUAUGGAAGGAAACUUGUCUGUGGGACAUUUAUGUGUCUUUGCACAAUGGCCACUGCCUCAGUGAGGUCAGAAAUUCAGCUUCUGUGUUCCUGCACCUGCUCACGUCCUUAAACCACGUGCCAUCCUUGCCCUGAGUUACGAGGUUGUCCUAGAGCUGCUGUCUGUUUGGUGUCUCUUAAUGAAACACUUGAGCCGCAAGGCAGGAUUAGUAAGAGUAGAACAAAAGCAAAUUUUGGAAAGUCUUACCGGUGAAAGUUGUAGGGGACAGCAAGCCUAUAAGUCAGGCACAUUUAGGAGCUUUGCUCAUCAGGCACUUUCUCUGCCUUCUGUCUUUACUUUCAUCGCUGUUUUAGAUCCCUGUAAAAGAAAUAUCCCACUUAAAAACUUAAUGAAAAAGCACAGUGAAUUAUUAGUCAACUCCAACUAAAAAGUAAGGAGGAACCAAGUAAAUAUUCUAACCUGACUCUGUGAAUAUUAGACAAGUUCUGGAGAAAAAUAAUAAUAAAAUGUUGUCAGUUUGCAAAAUCAAACAGAUCAAGUGUAAUUAUUCUCUAGAAAUGCAGCACUGGAAAACAGCAGAUCUUUUUUGCUCUUGUCCUUGAAAUGAGAAGUACAAGACCGUCAUUUUUAUAACAUUUUGGAUCAAGAGUUUGUGAACUUCUUUGUAACGUGGAGCAGAUCUUAAUGAAGGCUGCUCCGUGCCUGCGAUCCCUUGUUCAUCAGUUCCUCAUUUGUGACCAGUGCAAAUGUCUCUCUCCUAUGGGACUUAAUUACAAAACCUCUCCGUAACCACUGCAAUUGCUCACCUAGAAAAGUACAUUGGGAGAGCAAUUAAUGUAUUUUUAGCUGUCUUUUAAAUAACAGUUGGCAAUAAGAGGCAGCGUGGUGCGAACAGCAGUUCCUCCUAACACAGAAUUUGGAAGUCUGCUGGAAAAGCUCAAUGGCGUGUCUUUGAAUCUGGGGUGGUUCCUCUAUUCCUCCUCACGCUUCCAAAGUAACCCCUAGGGACAUGAGCCGGGAGGACAGCUUUUAAUUGCUGUGUGAACAUGUGGGGCUAAGGAGUGUGAAAGUGAACAGACUUGGCUUGGCUCCUGCUUUAAAGGAUGGUGGUGAAACAGGUAAAUGUUUGGUUUGAAAAUCUCACUGACAGGUUGUCCAUCGAGGAAACGAAACCAUUUACCAUUGCUGAGAGACUCAUGAAGCCUGAAUUUGUGAAGUUGCUGUGGAUUCAGCUCUCGCAUACCUGAGUUUCUGAUGUUUUUCUGUCAGUUGGCCGAAUGUUUCUAACCCGGAGGGCCCUGGUGACAUCUUCAGGGUGAGGGUGAUGGAGCACUGGGACAGGCUGCCCAGGGAGGUUGUGGAGUCUCCUUCUCUGGAGAUAUUCAAGGCCUGUCUGGAUGCCUACCUGGGCAGCCUGCUCUGAGGAACCUGCUUUGGCAGGGGGGUUGGACCUGAUGAUCUUUCAAGGUCCCUUCCAACCCCUACAGUUCUGUGAUUCUGUGAUCUUCACAUGGGGCCUUCUCAUCCACCUGCCAAAGGGGUGGGACAUGGUUUCCCCAACCCCUCUACCCUAUGCGUGAAAGCUCAAGAAGGAUUAUUUGUCAAAAGAGUGAGUGUCUUAGACUCUUAAACCAAACAGUAACUGGAAAACAUGAUUUACCAGGCAGGAAAAAAAAAUCCCUCUUCCUCAUGCCAGCGACCGGUGUGAUGUAGUCGGUGUUUUAUGGCGAAGGGCUCUGUGUGUGUGCGUGCACCGGUGCUCUCUACCAAGCAGAGCCAUGGCUCGCUGUCUUCCUACAGAAAGGAGGACUUUUUUGGCAGUCCCCUUGGGUAUAUUCUUAUGAUAAAAUGUGGAGGAGGUGUUAGAAACACAAAUUGCAGUUUUUGAGUAGGUGUUUGGAGACUGAGAGCGAUAUAAACAUCGCCUUCCUCUGAGGCAGAGAGAACUUCUGAUGAAGUUUGCAUAUUUCCUGCUAGCACCGGGUAUUAUGAUUGUGAUACAUAAAAAUAAACCAAAUUGGGAAUUUUAAAAUAAUUAUUUUCAAUUAAACAGAAGUUGAGCUUAUUUUUACUGAGUUAUCACCUUUCCAGACCCUUCAGUUAGCACUGUUCACCUCAUAAAACUUCUUUAUUCUGAGCUGCGUUCUGAUAUGUGUAUAUAUCUGUGACACGUGUAAAUGUUCAUUUUUUCAGUGAAUUACUUCAGAAAAUAGCUUUCUUUGUAAUAUUUUGCAGAGAAAGGGUAUUCAGCAGUUUAUCUAGAUUUUAGACUGACUAUAAUAUUUUUCAAGGGAAUUUACUGACUUUGCUAUUGAUGGCUGCAACAGUCUUCCUCAAGUUUCUUGAUUUAAAUGCAAUUUUAGCCAUUGGUGCUCAUGGUCACUGUAUUGAGAUGCUUUUUAAUUUGUUAUAGCAUAUUUCUUUCUGCCCUUUUUCCCUGUCUGUUGAACAAAAUGAAUUCUCUAGGCCUCUCUUUUCAAGUUCACUUGACAUUGCAGUUCAGUGUUAUUCAGUCCUUGGCUUUGUUUCCUUUCUGUCCUUUGACAGUUCUGUAUUUUCGUGUUUGCCUGCCAUAUUGAACUGCAGUUGCAAAUCUAAGCACAGUUUGUGAAAAAAAUAUUUUGGGACUGUCUUAGCCAUGUUAAUUUUUUGAAACCAUUUCUGUUGCAUUUUUGACAUUCAUUGAGAGUGAAUAAAAUAAAUAUAGUAUGUGGCUGUUAACCAAAGAUUUUGUACCUAUUGUAACGAGUGUCUUGUUUGCAUUUGAAAAAGUAUUUAGGCUGAAUCCUUUGAGAAUUAUAUAGUGCUCUGCAUAAUUGCUUUUAACGUUUUCAAUAACUAACAAAAAGAUGAAUGCAGAAUGAAAAUAACUGCUUUUGAAACAGAAAAAGUCUCCUUUGAUGAAAUUUCACACUAUGGUUGUUUGUUUCUAAAAGCCUGUAUUUUACUCAAACACAACUUGGAUCACCAUAAUUUUUCUCUAGUGCGUAGCAGAACUUUUGUGAACUUGGUCCCUUUUUAAAACAGCAAACAAUGAUAUUUUGUGACUUGGA